UAAAUCGGACAAAGAAAACACAAUAAUUGAAAUGGCCCAGCUAUCACUUAAUAUUCAUUUUUUGUAUUUCUCUAAAAUAAAUUAAAUAAAAUAAAAUAAAAUCCAAUCAAACUCAAUUUACUCUCACCACAAAUGAAGAAAAUUCAUUACUUUCAUCACAUUUUUUUAAUUUUACUAAUCAUAGUCUUCGUGUUUAAACAAAUUACUUACAAAUUCGAAGUCGCCGCCAUAGUAUUACAGCCUAAGCAAAUUACAAAAUGUAAUGACGCAAGUGAAACUGAAGAAAAAGAAUUUCUGAUGGAGUCGGAAACGAACCGGAGAAUUCUUGAGGGAGAAAAAUUCCUCAGUCCGGGAACUCUCCGGCGAGAUAUACCGGCAUGUGGCCGGAAUGGUGAAAGAGGCGACGCUUAUACUAAGACUUGCUUACCGCCGCCGUCAAAUGCAUAUAACAGAGGAUGUUCAAGAGACUUUAUUAUUAUAGCGUUCUUAUGUUGAGCGAGACCUGCUCCAGAAGUUCCACCUGAGGAGCAUGCAAUGAUGGAGCGGAUAAGCGUUGCAUAUCUUGUUGACUCCUCAUUGUAUAUCACAUACAUCGAUGAUUAUCUGUGGCGGAGAGCCAAUGUUGUAGCCCCGAAGCUUGAGAUUGAUGUUCCUUAAACAGGUAGUUGUGCUUCCGGUAAAGUUUGUUGUUCUGUGUUUUGUUUUUUAUUAUCACGUUUUAUGUUUUUUAUAUAGAUUUGUUUUUGUAUUUCUGAUGGUGUUUUUUAUAGUAUUUUUAUGGUGUUUUUAUAGUGUU
Molecule: long non-coding RNA, 796 nt
Organism: Mercurialis annua (annual mercury)
Lineage: Eukaryota; Viridiplantae; Streptophyta; Magnoliopsida; Malpighiales; Euphorbiaceae
Exons: 2
Source: RefSeq, a predicted model, not a curated record